ACAACCUUACUUGAACAGGAUCUGUUCUAUAGGUUGUACAUCUGUAUCCUUGAGUUCUAAAGAGACAGGAAACCAAGUCCAAUUGGACG
RNAcentral lists this small RNA (89 nucleotides) under Olea europaea subsp. europaea. RNAcentral's name for it is "Plant small nucleolar RNA U3". Lineage: Eukaryota; Viridiplantae; Streptophyta; Magnoliopsida; Lamiales; Oleaceae. The record is from Rfam by way of RNAcentral.